GAUGAACGCUGGCGGCGUGCCUAAUACAUGCAAGUCGAGCGAACGGACGAGAAGCUUGCUUCUCUGAUGCUAGCGGCGGACGGGUGAGUAACACGUGGAUAACCUACCUAUAAGACUGGGAUAACUUCGGGAAACCGGAGCUAAUACCGGAUGAUAUUUUGAACCGCAUGGUUCAAAAGUGAAAGACGGUCUUGCUGUCACUUAUAGAUGGAUCCGCGCUGCAUUAGCUAGUUGGUAAGGUAACGGCUUACCAAGGCAACGAUGCAUAGCCGACCUGAGAGGGUGGUCGGCCACACUGGAACUGAGACACGGUCCAGACUCCUACGGGAGGCAGCAGUAGGGAAUCUUCCGCAAUGGGCGAAAGCCUGACGGAGCAACGCCGCGUGAGUGAUGAAGGUCUUCGGAUCGUAAAACUCUGUUAUUAGGGAAGAACAUAUGUGUAAGUAACUGUGCACAUCUUGACGGUACCUAAUCAGAAAGCCACGGCUAACUACGUG
RNAcentral lists this ribosomal RNA (497 nucleotides) under uncultured bacterium. RNAcentral describes it as "partial 16S ribosomal RNA". It matches the Rfam family "Bacterial small subunit ribosomal RNA", at positions 28 to 507 of the family's 1533-position model. The record is from RNAcentral.